AUAUACACAUAUGUAAUUCGUGGAACAUACGCGAGGGACCACACUUCAACAAAAAAAUAUAAUAAAUAAAUAAAGUAAACCAAUAAUUUUCAAGAAAAUCGUUGGAUAUACGUAAGUAAGGUAAGGCACGUGUUGAGGCUUAAUUUAGACCGACAAAUGUAGUUCAGGGCACAUAAAAGAAUCGUGAUCAUGAGCUUUCGAAACUAAACCAAAUCAAGCAAUGUUUCAGACCACUCAUUUUCAUCAAAUUAUGUUAUCGAAAAGGUUAAAUUUGUUAUAAUAUAGAUGACUGCAUUUCACUAAUCGCCAGAGGUGGAACCUUUAAUAAGCGAUGGAAUAUCUAUCACAUGCUCGUUUUCGGUUCUGUGUUUUGCUUGGACAGCCGGCUCAGCAUUGACUCCGUGGUUCCUACAGCCUAUCUCCUAUAGAAACGGUGGAGGAUAAACUUUUCGUGUUCCUGCUAUAGCUGAAGCUAGAUUAUAAAUCCUACUGAAGUUCCCCAACGGGAAAAGGAUAGAAUUUGCUUGGUUUUCGGCAAGGCAUAACUAUCGUACGAGUGCUAUAAAACUCAGCUUGAACUGAUAUUAAAAACUUUGAAUGAGAUUCCUACUUAUGGAAAGACGUUUUAAGUUCAAGCAACAAAUAUCAACAGUCAUUAAGUUUUAUGGGUAUUCAACUGGAAGUAGCAAAAGCUACAUGUUAUGACUGGAUACUUAAAUUUGGGACCACAGGGAGCAGUAAGCCCUUGGAGUUCGCUCCAAUCUGCUCAUUUAAUUUAGAUUGAGGAGAUUUGUGGUGGUUUAAACGUAAAUGCGUGGAGAAUUCAAAAACUCACUUCAAUGUGGAGUCAUUGUGGCCGGGUACCAGCACGUUAGAAGUCUUAGAUUGGCCUCGAACCGGAGCAAGGUGGAUAGGUGUCCCUUCCACCUUACAAAUUAGAAUCAAAAAAUGCCUUGUCGAUGGCACGUACUCACGUAAAACACACCGGACGUUGGAUGUUGUAGUCACAUUCGCUCAUCUUGGUUUUCUUGCAUACAUAUUUAUCUUAAGCUAAAGGUGGUUGAGACUAUCAGAGGGUAUUGCUUGCAUUUUCCUCCUACUUCACGAGACGAAUCGGGGUGCCUCAUCCAAACCUCCUUCUUUUAUAACACGGACUAUGGUCAAAAUUACGAUGUUAGAAAGUUCCAAAUGCUGAGUUCAGAAACAGCUAGCGUCUCAGUGGCGACCUUUUUCAAUAUAUUCGCUAUUUUUUUUAGAAAUCUACUCUCCAUCAGAGCAUAUCUAUAUCACGUCUGCAAACUAACGGACCUAGGGAUAGAAAGUCAAGGAUUCACCCUACUCGAACUGUUAACAAUUCCGAAAAGCAAUAAAACAUGCCGAGCAAAUACCAAUCCAAAUACAAUUACAGUCCGGGAACUCAACUAAGAUCAAUUACAGCGAUUACGACUGACAAACGGCGCUUCCAAAUAGUAAAUAACAAAAUGAUAUAAAAAGAGAACGGUAAACACUAAAAUAUAGUAAAAUUUAAACAGCUACUAAAACAUUACGCAAGACUUGGCGCCAAUUGAUUGCUUAUCGCUGACAAGCUGACUUUCCACCAAGGCAAACAUUUGUUGUACAACUACACAAACACAACUGUAUUUAUCAAAGAUACGCACAAUAUUUACGAGCGGCGCUGCCGAAAAGGACAUGCUCAGCACAAGGAAGACAAAUGCUGGAAUAAGUGGCUCACGAACAAAAGAAAAGGGCGCAGAAGUGUCACCGAAAUUGAAACAAUAAUAACGCCGAUCAGUAACAACCCGAAAUACAAAAACAAAGAAACAAUUGCAUGCACUUGUCGAGGCGUUGAAGGAGCUAGAAGACAGUUGCACUUGCCGCACAGGCGGGGCACAAACAAAUACACACGACAUCUAGCGAGCAUUGCGCUUAAAUGCAGCGCAGUCCAGCACACUGAUUACGAUCGCUUGCAACGUGGAUGCAUCACAUUGCGUUGUUGUUGUUCAUUUUCUUGCUGCUGUUGAUAAACGAGUCAUUACCAGUUGACGUGAUGCCACACGUUGAGUGGAGCGAGUACAGCUGUAUUUGUUCCCGCAAUGCUAGUUGCAUCAUGUUGCAUGCGCGGAGGAUAUGUGAAGAGGCAACAACAAACGUAAGUUAGUGGCUAUAGCAUGAUACUGUGGCAUAUCCUUAAGAUAUCCUUAUCGUUUGCACAGCACAGUGGUGCAUUGGAGUUCAAAAGUUGGACAAUAGAAAAUGUUAACGGAAUGGAAAGUGGCUAGAGGAAAUCGGUCAACGAUAGUCAAGUGGCGCUUAAGGUGAUCUUAGCGUACAAAAUUAGAACUGCAUAGAACGGCUCAAUACCUUGUCAGUUGGAAAUCAAGCUCGCCUCUGGGUGCCAGGCCACUUGCUUCUGCUACAUGAAGCCGGGAAUCCCGAGCACCUGAUGCAAGACUGAAUAGCAGUCUGUAGAUGGUUCAAUGAAAUCUUGGGGAUUCUAGGCUAGGUUAGGUCAUAGAGUUGAUCCAAAAUCGAUGAAUCUCAAUUGGACAGAUAUUUAUCCUUUGUGUAGCCCAUAAGCUCUUAGGAUAUGAAUCAGCAGAUCCUCAUCCAACGACGUAGCAUUUUGUGCUUAUCACACAUUUUUUAAGCCGGUUAAUAUCAAAGCUCAAAGUGUGUGUCGGAUGACCUCUUAAGGUUCAUUAUAGACCUGAAGAAUCUCGCAGUAGAAAAAGUUCUGGUUGUUUACCAGCGCCCUCAGAACUCACUUGAGAACGCAAGCAAGCAUCGGAUGAAGUUAUGAAUAGACUACCCAGAUCAUUGAUUUUACAGUUUCCAGUGAUUCCGGCUGACGGAGUGGAUGAAUCCUACUCCGUGGCUGCACUCCAAUUCAGAAUAUCUAUUGCAGCCUUUAUGUCCGCCAACUCCGCUUGAAAAACGCUACAGUGGAGACCACUGAGUAGUCUAGUAGCCUGGAUUAUGGUUAAUGGAGAGCUCUCGGCAGAAAACUCCACCACCUACUCUCCCCCUUAACUUCGAUCCAUCCGGGGAAAAGCUCACUACAAUCCUUUUUCAACGGCUUCGGUCUGCCCACAAAAUCCCUGGCAGAUGUGUGAGCUGAGAGGAAACCGUCAACAAAAGAUUAUGCGGUGCAGUAUUCUAGGUUGGAAGGAAGGUAAUCGAGGCAGUGGAGAAUUUAAAUGUUUCUCUGCCGAGGCUCCAUAUAUACCCCGCUUCCUUAAGCCAAAUAGCUGCUUUUGCCACCAAGCACCCAUCAGCUAAGUCUUAAUUUGGAACGUGCAGAAGGCAUUGAGUGCUGGUGUUCCUAAGGAACAAAGCUUCCAUUACCUAAUUAAGCAAGAGAUCAGUUCGAUGAGACAAUCGGUUUGAAAAUCUAAUAUAUAUAGUGCGGAGAUCCUUGCCGAGUGUCGAUUCCAUUUCUGAAAUUUUGAUGCUCUGUAAAGCUGGACGGCCAAUUGUCAAAAGUAUUCUUAAUAAAGGAAAAUCAAGUCGCACCCUCAUGUAAGCAUUGUCUCGAUCCCCAGGGAGCUUAACAUUGCACAAAAAACCGUUUGGGGUCACUGAAAUAAGGCUAGAAGCAUAAAGAAACUCAUUGACCGAAUUUUCAUUUGCAUGUUACUGCGGAAUCGCAACAAAAACCCUCUAUUUCUGAAGUGGAUGGUUACUGGUGAUGAAAACUGGAUCACUUACAACAACGUCAAUUGUAAAUGGUGGCGUUCGAAUCUCCGUGGAUCGGGGUAUACGGUAGUCAAACCAGGAUAAACGGUCAGUAAGAUUUGUGUUUGGUGAGAUUGGCAGAGGAAGCUCUUAAUUCGGUCGUAUACUUUCAAUAAUUGGGCUGUCAGAAGAAAGCAAGAAAUUGGCAGAGGAAUCGUUUACUAUCUUGCAGUCAAACUCCUAAUUUGGACCUAUAUUAUCGCCAAUUAGACCGUCUAAUGAAAGAAAUCACCUAGAAGUGGCAAGUUUGGGCCAAAAAGAGAGGAGUAGUGUUCCAGCAGAUUACCACAAAGCCGCAAACAUAGCUGGUAACUCGCCAAAUGCUGCGUGAGCUUGGCUGGAAGAUUUUUAUGUCUUUAUCUUAUAGUCGGUCCUGCCACUGUCCAUGGCGAAUGAUUUUGCGGCUUCUUUUCUAGAGAAGCUUGUUAAAGUCCACCUUAGUCAGUAUUUUAUCUAAGAGAAAGACGAUAUUGUGUACUUCUUUGUACAACCCGCUCCACUGUAUGCGCUUGCAGUUGCAUUUGCUAAGGAUGCUUGCAGACGUGUGCAAGACUACUUGGACGUGGCAUGGCGCCGUCGAUAAUGACACACACGAACACUCAUACAAAACUCACUCACUACCGAAUGGUUUAUUUAGAAACUAGCUGAAGAGUCUCUAGAUAAGCGCUGCACUACAUAUUGAUAGUUGGAACUGUGCUUGUGUGUGUGUGGCGGCGUGAGAAGUGCAGCAGGUUGCAUACAUAUACUUAUAUAUCCUGUGAGAAGGAUAUUAGGAAAACUGGAAAACCGAAGCAAGGAUGCAGCAAAACUUAAUUGCCGAUGUGCGUGUGUAGUUUCCAAAUGAGUUUUUGCUCGCAAACCAAAUGACUGCGAGGCACUGACUAUUUCUCUAUACAUGUAUGCGUGUGUGUGUGUGCGUUAGUGUGCGCAUAGUUACUAGGUGAUAGAUGGCAUUUCAAACGUUUGCGGCAGCAACGUAGAAUUUACACACUCCGCUCAGCACGUUUGCAGUUGGUAAUGGUGAUGAUUUGAUUAGAGCGAUUGAGUGCCGUAAAUAAAUUACGUGCGUGCGUGGGAAAUGAGCUGAAUUUAUUCCACAUGAAUCAGGCAUGAAUGAAUUGUACAAUUAUGCUGUUUUUGGAUUUUUUUCUGGUGUUUUUGUUUUAUUUUUUUCAAGAAGAAGAAGUUUGCUUAUAAUCUUGACAUUUUUUCAUUGUCUUAUUCGCCACUUAAACGCGCUUAUCAUCGGGGCAACGCCACCGCAUUCGUAUCGCAAAUGAUUAAUUACACAAAUAAGCGCUGGGACACACCCAGAUACGCCAGUUAAGGAAGUUGGGGAAUGUGUGUGGCUGUGUGAAUGAGAAUUUUUUCUGCCACUCAUCAGGGUGGUCAGCGGUCGCAUGCUGGAGUGACGCUUCCCAGCCUGGCGUGAUUCAACUGCCGCCAAGACUAUGCCGUGCCUGAGUUAUUAUUGUUGUAUACAACAAACAUGCGUGCAUAUAUGAAUAUAUUAGGCGGCCUAACCGAGUAUCCUGCUUCAAAGCGCUUGCUGCAACGCUUCCUGUACACCUUUCUGCUCCAAAGAAAUCAAAAAAAAAAAAACACAAAAAUUAUACACCGUUCAUUAGCUGCUUGUUUUUGUUGUUAUUUUUUCUGCGUUGCUCAUUCGCAAAUUGUUGCCAUCUCAUCGCCGUCAGCAGAUGAAUUUGCAUUAAUUGAUCUUUCCCUUGCCUUUUGGCAAUCUCUCUUGGUGUUUUUUUUUUUCUUUUCGUUUUGUAUUCCUUUUCUCCCUCAUUGCCUGCGUUAUCUGUGUUUGCCAAUUUAUUUUUUCUGCUUUCUUACUCAUAUUAUCGCCUCAUUAAUGACAUCUGAAAGGUGUCAAUUAGUGUACGUUCCAGCCGGGUACGCCGCCUGUACGCCGAAAAACACUUCACGAAAAACGCCCGAAAUUUCAGUUAAUUUUGUUGUUGUGUUUUCGGCUUAUUUAUUGUUGCGCAUUAAUUGCUACGUUGUUGUGGUUUUUGUGGCUGUUUUUUUACUCUUUUUUAUUUGUUGUGUUGCAUAAAUUAGUCAGCUCAGCGGUUGAUUGGUUGGUUAGCUGUUUGUUGUUGUUCGGUGUCAUGCUUUUUGUUGGUGUUUUCUUUGGUUUACGUUCAUACGUAGUUAUCGGCUUGUAUUGCCGUAUUUAUCCGACUUGUUAUUACGGGUUUCUUUAAAUUUUAUGUGACUUAAGUGUUGCUUUUGCAAGAGUUCGCCAAAUAUUGCUCUUAAGCUUGAUUUAUGGCCAACUCUUUGAUAAUUCAUAAUUAUUAUGAUUAUUUGAAACACCAAGAAUUUUUCACAUUGCCUAAAUAAAGACUUUUGAUAUAAAUUUUAAUCGCUUCUUAAGCGAAUUUCUGCUGGUCGAAGACUUUUUAGAAAAUUGUGGGCAUACGAAGAAGGAUAAAAGUAAAUUAUUGAAUUCUGUACAUAACUGAUGGCAACAGCCAUCCUUUCAAAAAUUUUGCGUUCAAUUAAAAUUGUAAUCACAAAUUUUUCAACAAUUUUCGAAAAUGUUCUAAUUUUAAAGGAGAGGAGAAAACGUUUGUCAAAGAUCAAAGACCUGUAACAUACUUGCAUGUAUGUAAAAUAGAAAAAUGUUGCUGAAUAAAAAUUGUUUGCGUUUUAACAAGCAUAUAAAUAUAGUAGUGUGGCAUAUCUUUAGGAGCAUUGAGACCAAAAAACUAAAAAACUAUCCAAACUAUCUUUGAAUAAAGACUUCACAAUCACAUUUUAAUUUACGAAUAUAUCUGUCAAAAAAAGAGCUUUAAGGUAUAUAAAAUACAAACGUGUUUGUCGAAACUUCCCAUUUUAAUAAAACGGUGUAACAUACCUUUAGGAGCAUUGACACAAAAAAGGAAUAAUAAAAUAACUAUUCAAAAUAUCUUUCAAAUUAGAAUUCAUAAUCACACGUUAAUUUACCAAUAUUUUCCCCUCAAGAAAUAUUGAAACAUGUCUGAUUUGACUGAAAAGGAAUAGAAUUAAAAAAAUCAAGGUUUUCUAUUAGGAAUGAUAUGAUGAAGUGUCGUUUCGGCCAUUUUUAUUAUGUCAAUUCUAAUUAUAAUAUGUUUUCUUUCUUUGCAUGAAUACAAUUACAUCGUCUUGGAAAGAUAUACGCCAGAACAACAUUUACAAAUUAUUCAGUUUACCACAACCUGUUGGAUUUUGAGAAAGGAUUUGGGCUUGCAUUCAUACAAAAUUAUUCUCACUCAAGAACUGAAGCUAUUGGACCACCGUGAAUGUCGUAAAUUUGCUGAUUUCAUCUUGGAACAGCUUGAAAAUGAUAAGGAUUUUUUUAAGAAAAUCAUCUUCUCUGAUGAGGCUCACUUUUAUCUGAGUAGUAUGAUUACUUUAGAAGAGGAAACCCCAAUCGGUACACUGAAAGAUCCACAACCUGCGAGUAGUCGUCUACCUCAACUCACAACUAAUUAAGAUAGAAAAAUAAUGCAUCCAAAUCUUCGGUAGUGGGUUACACGUUUGAAACAAAACCUGGUUUGAUCGGUCAACUCUCCAAUAAAUUCCAUAUCCUCCUUCUCACGCUGGCGGUCAUCUACAAACUCUUGCAUAAUAUUUAUUAUUAAUAUGCCACUUAUCAAUUUUGUCUACGAUUUUAUAGCAUCAAAGAGCGCGCCAUUCCUCAUUCUAAUUUUUCUCUCAAACAAACUACGAUGUAAGUACGAGUAUGUAAGAACAUGGCAGACACCCCGUUAUGUCGACACUUAACAAGCCCGCAAUGUGCUUAAGGGAUUAUGCCUCACACUGGUGAAUAUUGGACACCCAACAGAGUGUUAAGAACCGGGCACUUCAUCAAAUUGCAACAAACAGCAAUCGAAAGGAAAUCGAAAAACUUCAAACAUUAGAACAAGCGGUACUUUGCUCAAUAGAUACAAUUGACGCUGAUGAUGCGAGCCACAAAAACACGAAGAUACUUGAGCUGUGCAUUUUUUAAAAUACGUCACUUUGAUUAAUGAAUGCCGGAGAUUUUGGAAAACGAAUACAAUAACAACACUAACGAGUGGAUAUUUCAAACAGUUGUGUACAUUUCUUCCACUUUUUUUGGUUUUGGCAGCUAACAAGGAAUGCGCAGGAGCGCCGCUCGGGCAUGUGGCGGAGUAUGGCAAAAAUUGAACAUUACCGAAAUGCUGAAAUGUUUUCAUGUUUUCAUAUUCUACAAUCUCCCAGCCAGUUAUACUGGCUUCAAUUAAAUAGCCAGAAAACAAAAGGGAAAAUAAAAUUUAAACAAUUCAGAAUUCCCUUUCUUCAGUAAUCGAAAAUAUGGAUGAAAAUGAAUAUUACGAGACACAAAUUAUGGUCAACAUAACCAGUCUACUAUUCGCAAAACCAUCACCCAUUUGGGAGCCAUCAUUAAUUAUUGGAAAAUUUUCGACCCGAAUGGAGCACGUUCUGUACGCAGUGAAGAAAAUAUAGCAGCCACAGCUGAGAGUGUACACGCAGACCGCGGAGAGUCGAUCC
Molecule: long non-coding RNA, 8247 nt
Organism: Bactrocera tryoni
Lineage: Eukaryota; Metazoa; Arthropoda; Insecta; Diptera; Tephritidae
Exons: 3
Source: RefSeq, a predicted model, not a curated record